This 76-nucleotide transfer RNA is filed under the name Acinetobacter baumannii NCGM 237. Its description in RNAcentral is "tRNA-Glu". Lineage: Bacteria; Pseudomonadati; Pseudomonadota; Gammaproteobacteria; Moraxellales; Moraxellaceae. The record is from RNAcentral.
UGGCGUCCCUACGGGGAUUCGAACCCCGGUUACCGCCGUGAAAGGGCGAUGUCCUAGGCCUCUAGACGAUAGGGAC